GCAUAUCAAUAAGCGGAGGAAAAGAAACCAACCGGGAUUGCCCUAGUAACGGCGAGUGAAGCGGCAAGAGCUCAAAUUUGAAAGCUGGCUCCUUCGGGGUCCGCAUUGUAAUUUGCAGAGGAUGCUUCGGGAGCGGUCCCCAUCUAAGUGCCCUGGAACGGGCCGUCAUAGAGGGUGAGAAUCCCGUCUGGGAUGGGGUGCCCGCGCCCGUGUGAAGCUCCUUCGACGAGUCGAGUUGUUUGGGAAUGCAGCUCUAAUUGGGUGGUAAAUUUCAUCUAAAGCUAAAUAUUGGCCGGAGACCGAUAGCGCACAAGUAGAGUGAUCGAAAGAUGAAAAGCACUUUGAAAAGAGAGUUAAACAGCACGUGAAAUUGUUGAAAGGGAAGCGCUUGCGAUCAGACUCGCCCGCGGGGUUCAGCCGGCAUUCGUGCCGGUGUACUUCCCCGCGGGCGGGCCAGCGUCGGUUUGGGCGGCCGGUCAAAGGCCCCUGGAAUGUAACGCCUCUCGGGGCGUCUUAUAGCCAGGGGUGCCAUGCGGCCUGCCCGGACCGAGGAACGCGCUUCGGCUCGGACGCUGGCAUAAUGGUCGUAAGCGACCCGUCUUGAAACACGGACCAAGGAGUCUAACAUCUACGCGAGUGUUCGGGUGUCAAACCCGUGCGCGCAGUGAAAGCGAACGGAGGUGGGAACCCUUUGGGUGCACCAUCGACCGAUCCUGAUGUCUUCGGAUGGAUUUGAGUAAGAGCGUAGCUGUUGGGACCCGAAAGAUGGUGAACUAUGCCUGAAUAGGGCGAAGCCAGAGGAAACUCUGGUGGAGGCUCGCAGCGGUUCUGACGUGCAAAUCGAUCGUCAAAUUUGGGUAUAGGGGCGAAAGACUAAUCGAACCAUCUAGUAGCUGGUUCCUGCCGA
RNAcentral lists this ribosomal RNA (907 nucleotides) under Penicillium sp. DV-2018n. RNAcentral's name for it is "LSU rRNA". It matches the Rfam family "Eukaryotic large subunit ribosomal RNA", at positions 38 to 964 of the family's 3401-position model. The record is from RNAcentral. Lineage: Eukaryota; Fungi; Ascomycota; Eurotiomycetes; Eurotiales; Aspergillaceae.